This 19-nucleotide small nuclear RNA is filed under the name Arabidopsis thaliana (thale cress). RNAcentral's name for it is "snRNA_00314". Lineage: Eukaryota; Viridiplantae; Streptophyta; Magnoliopsida; Brassicales; Brassicaceae. The record is from RNAcentral.
GAAGCUUCAUCAACCUGCU